This 30-nucleotide non-coding RNA is filed under the name Macaca fascicularis (crab-eating macaque). The record is from RNAcentral. Lineage: Eukaryota; Metazoa; Chordata; Mammalia; Primates; Cercopithecidae. RNAcentral also lists the same sequence under 1 other name.
UACGUGGACGACACGCAGUUCGUGCGGUUC